This 404-nucleotide ribosomal RNA is filed under the name Actinomycetes bacterium. Its description in RNAcentral is "Actinobacteria bacterium partial 16S ribosomal RNA". It matches the Rfam family "Bacterial small subunit ribosomal RNA", at positions 355 to 776 of the family's 1533-position model. Lineage: Bacteria; Bacillati; Actinomycetota; Actinomycetes. The record is from RNAcentral.
UGGGGAAUAUUGGACAAUGGGCGCAAGCCUGCUCCAGCCAUGUCGCGUGAGUGAUGAAGGCCCUAGUGUUGUAAAGCCCUUUCACCGGUGAAGAUAAUGACGGUAACCGGAGAAGAAGCCCCGGCUAACUUUGUGCCAGCAGCCGCGGUAAUACGAAGGGGGCUAGCGUUGUUCGGAUCUACUGGGCGUAAAGCGCACGUAGGCGGACUAUUAAGUCAGGGGUGAAAUCUCGGAUCUCAACCCCGGAACUGCCGUUGAUACUGGUAGUCUUGAGUUCGAGGGAGGUGAGUGGAAUUCCGAGUGUGGAGGUGAAAUUCGUAGAUAUUCGGAGGAACGCCAGAGGCGAAGGAGGCUCACUGGCUCGAUACUGACGCUGAGGUGCGAAAGCGGAGGGAGCGAACAGG